AUGAAGGAGGUUAGUUUUUACCUGAGGGGCAACGGCGGCCACCGUGGUCUUGCUGGAGCCUCGCUUACAGUCGAAAGUCAUCAGCUUCAGGGAGUGCCAGCACAGCCAAAAUAUACGCCACCUUCCACGGGGAGCAACAGCAGCAACUGCGAGGAUUUGGCUAGCCGAUACGAGCAACGGCGGCGACAUACCCGCUUCCGCAGCUCCGAGCUGCUGGUCCGCCGAGAUGCACAUGGAGCCAGCGAGCCGUUGUGCCUCCAAUCUGCCGGGCCACCGAGAUGCAGAUGUAGCCGCAGCGCCUCCGAGCUGCAGCGAGAGCCGCUCCGCCGUCAAGCUGCAGAGUGA
Molecule: ribosomal RNA, 345 nt
Filed under: Triticum aestivum (bread wheat)
Lineage: Eukaryota; Viridiplantae; Streptophyta; Magnoliopsida; Poales; Poaceae
Description: partial small subunit ribosomal RNA
Source: RNAcentral